UUUGGGGUAAAUAAAAAUAAAAUUAUUUUGAAUUAAAUUGAUCUUAAUAAAACUAGAUGAAAAAGGUACUCUAGGGAUAACAGCGUUAUAAUUAUUAAAGCCCAUAUUAAAAUAAUUGUUUGCGACCUCGAUG
Molecule: ribosomal RNA, 133 nt
Filed under: Acartia tonsa
Lineage: Eukaryota; Metazoa; Arthropoda; Copepoda; Calanoida; Acartiidae
Description: partial 16S ribosomal RNA
Source: RNAcentral